UACGGAAGGUCCAAGCGUUAAUCGGAAUUACUGGGCGUAAAGCGCGCGUAGGUGGUUUAUUAAGUUGGGUGUGAAAGCCCCGGGCUCAACCUGGGAACUGCAUCCAAAACUGAUUCACUAGAGUACGAAAGAGGGAGGUAGAAUUCACAGUGUAGCGGUGGAAUGCGUAGAUAUUGUGAAGAAUACCAAUGGCGAAGGCAGCCUCCUGGUUCUGUACUGACACUGAGGUGCGAAAGCGUGGGUAGCGAACAGGAUUAGAUACCCUGGUAGUCCACGCCGUAAACGAUGACAACCAGCUGUUGGGAAGCAAUGCUUUUCAGUGGCGCAGCUAACGUCUUAAGUUGUCCGCCUGGGGAGUACGGCCGCAAGGUUAAAACUCAAAUGAAUUGACGGGGACCCGCACAAGCGGUGGAGCAUGUGGUUUAAUUCGAUGCAACGCGAAAAACCUUACCUACUCUUGACAUCCUUGGAAUCUCUUGUAAUGAGAGAGUGCCUUUUGGAACCAAGUGACAGGUGCUGCAUGGCUGUCGUCAGCUCGUGUCGUGAGAUGUUCCGUUAAGUCGGAUAACGAGCGCAACCCUUACCCUUAUUUGCCAGCGGUUCGGCCGGGAACUAUAAGGGGACUGCCGGUGAUAGACCGGAGGAAGGUGAGGACGACGUCAAGUCAUCAUGGCCCUUACGAGUAGGGCUACACACGUGCUACAAUGGGAAGUACAGAGGGACGCCAAAGCGCGAGCUGGAGCUAAUCUCAUAAAACUUUUCGUAGUCCGGAUUGCAGUCUGCAACUCGACUGCAUGAAGUCGGAAUCGCUAGUAAUCGCGGAUCAGCACGCCGCGGUGAAUACGUUCUCGGGUCU
RNAcentral lists this ribosomal RNA (856 nucleotides) under uncultured bacterium. RNAcentral's name for it is "SSU rRNA". It matches the Rfam family "Bacterial small subunit ribosomal RNA", at positions 524 to 1381 of the family's 1533-position model. The record is from RNAcentral.